Molecule: transfer RNA, 65 nt
Filed under: Jonas distinctus
Lineage: Eukaryota; Metazoa; Arthropoda; Malacostraca; Decapoda; Corystidae
Description: tRNA-Ala
Source: RNAcentral
AAGACCAUAGUCAAACCAAUGACAUAUGAGUUGCAUUCAUAAAGAGUUUUUUAAAACUGGUUUUA